This 253-nucleotide ribosomal RNA is filed under the name uncultured bacterium. RNAcentral's name for it is "partial 16S ribosomal RNA". It matches the Rfam family "Bacterial small subunit ribosomal RNA", at positions 524 to 776 of the family's 1533-position model. The record is from RNAcentral.
UACAGAGGGGGCAAGCGUUGUUCGGAAUUACUGGGCGUAAAGGGCGCGUAGGCGGCCUGUUAAGUCGAACGUGAAAUCCCCGGGCUCAACCCGGGAACUGCGUCCGAUACUGGCAGGCUUGAAUCCGGGAGAGGGAUGCGGAAUUCCAGGUGUAGCGGUGAAAUUCGUAGAUAUCAGGAGGAACACCAGUGGCGAAGGCGGCUUUCUGGACGGUAACUGACGCUGAGACGCGAAAGCGUGGGGAGCAAACAGG